GGACUUAGUGAUCCGGUGGUUCUGCGUGGAAGGGCCAUCGCUCAACGGAUAAAAGCUACCCUGGGGAUAACAGGCUUAUCUCCCCCAAGAGUCCACAUCGACGGGGAGGUUUGGCACCUCGAUGUCGGCUCAUCACAUCCUGGGGCUGUAGUAGGUCCCAAGGGUUGGGCUGUUCGCCCAUUAAAGUGGUACGCGAGCUGGGUUCAGAACGUCGUGAGACAGUUCGGUCCCUAUCCGUCGCAGGCGUAGGAAAUUUGAGAAGACCUGUCCUUAGUACGAGAGGACCGGGAUGGACGUACCUCUGGUGUACCAGUUGUUCUGCCAAGGGCAUGGCUGGGUAGCUAUGUACGGAAUGGAUAAGCGCUGAAAGCAUCUAAGCGCGAAGCCAACUUCAAGAUAAGAUUUCCCACCGCAAGGGUAAGACCCCAGAAAGACUAUCUGGUUGAUAGGUCGAAGGUGUAAGUGCAGCAAUGUAUUUAGCUUAUCGAUACUAAUAGGUCGAGGACUUGACCAAAUU
Molecule: ribosomal RNA, 517 nt
Filed under: Clostridioides difficile
Lineage: Bacteria; Bacillati; Bacillota; Clostridia; Peptostreptococcales; Peptostreptococcaceae
Description: partial 23S ribosomal RNA
Rfam family: Bacterial large subunit ribosomal RNA
Source: RNAcentral